GAUGAACGCUAGCGGCAGGCCUAAUACAUGCCAGUCGGACGGGAUCCAUUGAUAGCUUGCUAUCAAUGGUGAGAGUGGCGCACGGGUGCGUAACGCGUGAGCAACCUGCCUCCAUCAGGGGGAUAGCCUCUCGAAAGAGAGAUUAACACCGCAUAAUAUCAACAGUUCGCAUGUUCAGUUGAUUAAAUAUUUAUAGGAUGGAGAUGGGCUCGCGUGACAUUAGCUAGUUGGUAGGGUAACGGCUUACCAAGGCGACGAUGUCUAGGGGCCCUGAGAGGAGAAUCCCCCACACUGGUACUGAGACACGGACCAGACUCCUACGGGAGGCAGCAGUAAGGAAUAUUGGUCAAUGGGCGGAAGCCUGAACCAGCCAUGCCGCGUGCAGGAUGACUGCCCUAUGGGUUGUAAACUGCUUUUGUCCAGGAAUAAACCUAAAUACGAGUAUUUAGCUGAAUGUACUGGAAGAAUAAGGAUCGGCUAACUCCGUG
This 488-nucleotide ribosomal RNA is filed under the name uncultured bacterium. RNAcentral's name for it is "partial 16S ribosomal RNA". It matches the Rfam family "Bacterial small subunit ribosomal RNA", at positions 28 to 507 of the family's 1533-position model. The record is from RNAcentral.